UUUACAGAUGUAGUUCUUGUGCACAGGUGCCACUAGCUGGUACCCUAGGCCCCAUCCCCAACCCAGAGGAGUGGGGCUACAGGCCCAGAGCUGGCAGCGGAAACUGACAGUCAGAGCUGAUGACAGACUCCCUACCAGGAUUCAGGUUUCUGUAUGAGAUCACAGCUUAUUUCCCUGUACUGCCCUACCAGGACCGGUGCCACUCCAGUCAGGGCAGCACACCUGUUUCCCUCACCCGAGCUAAG
This 245-nucleotide long non-coding RNA is filed under the name Cricetulus griseus (Chinese hamster). RNAcentral's name for it is "lncRNA (ENSCGRG00000026586.1)". The record is from RNAcentral. Lineage: Eukaryota; Metazoa; Chordata; Mammalia; Rodentia; Cricetidae.